Long non-coding RNA from Tachysurus vachellii, 271 nucleotides. RefSeq lists it as uncharacterized. The record is from RefSeq and is a predicted model, not a curated record. The transcript has 3 exons. Lineage: Eukaryota; Metazoa; Chordata; Actinopteri; Siluriformes; Bagridae.
GUAAGAAGCACAAAGUUUUAACAGAUUAAACAGAUGAAGAUGAAGAGCAGGACUCCGACGACGAACGUUUGUAUUUUGAAGAGCGACUUGAUCCGCGAGCGAGGAUAUAAUUUCUGAAGAGAAUGUGGCUGCAUCACUCUUGUCUUCACCUGCACCGGCUGCAACACUUUCACCUUCGUUUGAUGCUCGCACGGGGGCGCGCAGCAACGAGAACAAUAAGGAGAAUGUGGCUGCAACACGUUCACCUGCGUCUGAUACGCACACGAGGGCA